AGAGUUUGAUCAUGGCUCAGAUUGAACGCUGGCGGCAGGCCUAACACAUGCAAGUCGAACGGUAACAGGAAGCAGCUUGCUGCUUCGCUGACGAGUGGCGGACGGGUGAGUAAUGUCUGGGAAACUGCCUGAUGGAGGGGGAUAACUACUGGAAACGGUGGCUAAUACCGCAUAACGUCGCAAGACCAAAGAGGGGGACCUUCGGGCCUCUUGCCAUCAGAUGUGCCCAGAUGGGAUUAGCUUGUUGGUGAGGUAACGGCUCACCAAGGCGACGAUCCCUAGCUGGUCUGAGAGGAUGACCAGCCACACUGGAACUGAGACACGGUCCAGACUCCUACGGGAGGCAGCAGUGGGGAAUAUUGCACAAUGGGCGCAAGCCUGAUGCAGCCAUGCCGCGUGUAUGAAGAAGGCCUUCGGGUUGUAAAGUACUUUCAGCGGGGAGGAAGGUGUUGUGGUUAAUAACCGCAGCAAUUGACGUUACCCGCAGAAGAAGCACCGGCUAACUCCGUGCCAGCAGCCGCGGUAAUACGGAGGGUGCAAGCGUUAAUCGGAAUUACUGGGCGUAAAGCGCACGCAGGCGGUCUGUCAAGUCGGAUGUGAAAUCCCCGGGCUCAACCUGGGAACUGCAUUCGAAACUGGCAGGCUUGAGUCUUGUAGAGGGGGGUAGAAUUCCAGGUGUAGCGGUGAAAUGCGUAGAGAUCUGGAGGAAUACCGGUGGCGAAGGCGGCCCCCUGGACAAAGACUGACGCUCAGGUGCGAAAGCGUGGGGAGCAAACAGGAUUAGAUACCCUGGUAGUCCACGCCGUAAACGAUGUCUACUUGGAGGUUGUGCCCUUGAGGCGUGGCUUCCGGAGCUAACGCGUUAAGUAGACCGCCUGGGGAGUACGGCCGCAAGGUUAAAACUCAAAUGAAUUGACGGGGGCCCGCACAAGCGGUGGAGCAUGUGGUUUAAUUCGAUGCAACGCGAAGAACCUUACCUGGUCUUGACAUCCACGGAAGUUUUCAGAGAUGGAAUGUGCCUUCGGGAACCGUGAGACAGGUGCUGCAUGGCUGUCGUCAGCUCGUGUUGUGAAAUGUUGGGUUAAGUCCCGCAACGAGCGCAACCCUUAUCCUUUGUUGCCAGCGGUCCGGCCGGGAACUCAAAGGAGACUGCCAGUGAUAAACUGGAGGAAGGUGGGGAUGACGUCAAGUCAUCAUGGCCCUUACGACCAGGGCUACACACGUGCUACAAUGGCGCAUACAAAGAGAAGCGACCUCGCGAGAGCAAGCGGACCUCAUAAAGUGCGUCGUAGUCCGGAUUGGAGUCUGCAACUCGACUCCAUGAAGUCGGAAUCGCUAGUAAUCGUGGAUCAGAAUGCCACGGUGAAUACGUUCCCGGGCCUUGUACACACCGCCCGUCACACCAUGGGAGUGGGUUGCAAAAGAAGUAGGUAGCUUAACCUUCGGGAGGGCGCUUACCACUUUGUGAUUCAUGACUGGGGUGAAGUCGUAACAAGGUAACCGUAGGGGAACCUGCGGUUG
This 1521-nucleotide ribosomal RNA is filed under the name Salmonella enterica. RNAcentral describes it as "bacterial SSU rRNA". It matches the Rfam family "Bacterial small subunit ribosomal RNA". Lineage: Bacteria; Pseudomonadati; Pseudomonadota; Gammaproteobacteria; Enterobacterales; Enterobacteriaceae. The record is from RNAcentral.